AAGGAGAGGGAGUUUAUGGCGAGGCUGCAAAAUACACCAGAGAAGGCCCGAGAAGUCUUGUGAACACGCCAGUGUGCUUCAACCUAACUUGUGUGGUGGGAAAUGUCUUCAGCCACACCGGAAAAUAAGUUUUGUUUUUAAUACUUUGCUUUUGUAUGAGCUGGAUUAUACAGUACACCAAACGUAUUAUGAAUAACACAACAUGGAUAUUCCAUUACUAUGGGUUCUUACUGAUAUUUCAGGACCAUUUAUGACGGGUCGGGAUAUUGCCAUCCUUGUGUAACCCAGACUAAAAGGUACACAGGCAUAGAUUCACAAGGGAGUGGAGGGAGGCAUUUUAUAGCAUUUUGAUAAGAUGCAUAGUGAUAUUAAUCAAAUACAGUAAUGCAAACAAAAGAAAUCUAUGGUUUCUAUGGGAGAAAAACAAACAUUAUGUACAUUAGCCAUGCCCUUCAGGAAUUGGGAUUUUGUACGUUGAUACAUUUUGAAACCACUUCAAUACAUGAUACAUGAUGUAUGUUCUAAUGUCUAAGUUUUACAUAAAUUAAAUAAUUUGCACAUAUA
This is a long non-coding RNA of Perca fluviatilis (European perch), 564 nucleotides long. RefSeq lists it as uncharacterized. The record is from RefSeq and is a predicted model, not a curated record. The transcript is spliced from 2 exons. Lineage: Eukaryota; Metazoa; Chordata; Actinopteri; Perciformes; Percidae.